UACAGAGGGUGCUAGCGUUAAUCGGAAUUACUGGGCGUAAAGCGCACGUAGGCGGCUUGGUAUGUCGGGUGUGAAAUCCCCGGGCUCAACCUGGGAACUGCAUCCGAAACUGCCUUGCUAGAGUAUGGGAGAGGGAAGUGGAAUUUCCGGUGUAGCGGUGAAAUGCGUAGAUAUCGGAAGGAACAUCAGUGGCGAAGGCGACUUCCUGGACCAAUACUGACGCUCAGGUGCGAAAGCGUGGGGAGCAAACAGG
Molecule: ribosomal RNA, 253 nt
Filed under: uncultured bacterium
Lineage: Bacteria
Description: partial 16S ribosomal RNA
Rfam family: Bacterial small subunit ribosomal RNA
Source: RNAcentral